Molecule: ribosomal RNA, 1257 nt
Filed under: Bacteroides fragilis
Lineage: Bacteria; Pseudomonadati; Bacteroidota; Bacteroidia; Bacteroidales; Bacteroidaceae
Description: bacterial SSU rRNA
Rfam family: Bacterial small subunit ribosomal RNA
Source: RNAcentral
CACCAAGCCUUCGAUGGAUAGGGGUUCUGAGAGGAAGGUCCCCCACAUUGGAACUGAGACACGGUCCAAACUCCUACGGGAGGCAGCAGUGAGGAAUAUUGGUCAAUGGGCGCUAGCCUGAACCAGCCAAGUAGCGUGAAGGAUGAAGGCUCUAUGGGUCGUAAACUUCUUUUAUAUAAGAAUAAAGUGCAGUAUGUAUACUGUUUUGUAUGUAUUAUAUGAAUAAGGAUCGGCUAACUCCGUGCCAGCAGCCGCGGUAAUACGGAGGAUCCGAGCGUUAUCCGGAUUUAUUGGGUUUAAAGGGAGCGUAGGUGGACUGGUAAGUCAGUUGUGAAAGUUUGCGGCUCAACCGUAAAAUUGCAGUUGAUACUGUCAGUCUUGAGUACAGUAGAGGUGGGCGGAAUUCGUGGUGUAGCGGUGAAAUGCUUAGAUAUCACGAAGAACUCCGAUUGCGAAGGCAGCUCACUGGACUGCAACUGACACUGAUGCUCGAAAGUGUGGGUAUCAAACAGGAUUAGAUACCCUGGUAGUCCACACAGUAAACGAUGAAUACUCGCUGUUUGCGAUAUACAGUAAGCGGCCAAGCGAAAGCAUUAAGUAUUCCACCUGGGGAGUACGCCGGCAACGGUGAAACUCAAAGGAAUUGACGGGGGCCCGCACAAGCGGAGGAACAUGUGGUUUAAUUCGAUGAUACGCGAGGAACCUUACCCGGGCUUAAAUUGCAGUGGAAUGAUGUGGAAACAUGUCAGUGAGCAAUCACCGCUGUGAAGGUGCUGCAUGGUUGUCGUCAGCUCGUGCCGUGAGGUGUCGGCUUAAGUGCCAUAACGAGCGCAACCCUUAUCUUCAGUUACUAACAGGUCAUGCUGAGGACUCUGGAGAGACUGCCGUCGUAAGAUGUGAGGAAGGUGGGGAUGACGUCAAAUCAGCACGGCCCUUACGUCCGGGGCUACACACGUGUUACAAUGGGGGGUACAGAAGGCAGCUAGCGGGUGACCGUAUGCUAAUCCCAAAAUCCUCUCUCAGUUCGGAUCGAAGUCUGCAACCCGACUUCGUGAAGCUGGAUUCGCUAGUAAUCGCGCAUCAGCCACGGCGCGGUGAAUACGUUCCCGGGCCUUGUACACACCGCCCGUCAAGCCAUGGGAGCCGGGGGUACCUGAAGUACGUAACCGCAAGGAUCGUCCUAGGGUAAAACUGGUGACUGGGGCUAAGUCGUAACAAGGUAGCCGUACCGGAAGGUGCGGCUGGAACACCUCCUUU